AUACGGAGGAUGCGAGCGUUAUCCGGAUUUAUUGGGUUUAAAGGGAGCGUAGGUGGGAUAUUAAGUCAGCUGUGAAAGUUUGGGGCUCAACCUUAAAAUUGCAGUUGAUACUGGUUUCCUUGAGUACGGUACAGGUGGGCGGAAUUCGUGGUGUAGCGGUGAAAUGCUUAGAUAUCACGAAGAACUCCGAUCGCGAAGGCAGCUCACCGGGCCGGAACUGACACUGAUGCUCGAAAGUGCGGGUAUCAAACAGGAUUAGAUACCCUGGUGGUCCGCACAGUAAACGAUGAAUACUCGCUGUUUGCGAUACACGGUAAGCGGCCAAGCGAAAGCGUUAAGUAUUCCACCUGGGGAGUACGCCGGCAACGGUGAAACUCAAAGGAAUUGGCGGGG
Molecule: ribosomal RNA, 393 nt
Filed under: uncultured bacterium
Lineage: Bacteria
Description: partial 16S ribosomal RNA
Rfam family: Bacterial small subunit ribosomal RNA
Source: RNAcentral